UGGUCUGUGCGCUACAUUCGUGGCGAGCUUACCUGGUCGGCCGUCGUGAUGCUUCACCUGCACUCCCUAGUCCGCCGCCAUGCGCUCCUUCCAUCGAUCCGACUCCGUCGUCUCUUCUUCUCCACCGGCGCUUCCGCCUCCUCCUCAGUCGCCACCACCGCUUCUACCGAUCCCCACUUCCUUGUUGAGUACCUCGUGAAUACAUGCGGCUUCUCCGCCGACGAUGCUUCCAAGGUCUCCAAGUCGCUCCCCCGUAUUCGGUCCGCCGAGAAGGCUGACGCCGUUCUUGGAUUUCUCAGAUCCCAGGGCCUUGAUGACUCUAAUCUCAGAAAGCUAAUAACUUGGAAACCAACAUUGCUCGGCUGCGAUGUGCAGACGAACCUCGCUCAUAAGUUCAAUUUUUUACGCGACAUGGGGUUCUCUGAGUCCGACGCCGUCAAUGUCGUUAUGCUGCACCCCAUCAUUCUUUCCCUCAACGUCCAGAACACGCUUCUCCCCAGAUUGAAGGUUUGGGAAAGUUUAUUUGGAUCGAGGGAGAUCCUCCUCAGGAAACUCCGGAGCUGUAAUAGGUUUAUGAGCACCAGCAUUGAGAAUGUGGUACGCCCUAACUUGAACUUCUUACGGGAUGAAUGUGGAAUUCCUGAAGACAGGGUUUCCCUUGUCCUUAAAAUGCACCCCGGCUUCAUAGUGCAGAAUCCUGAAUCCCUCCGGGCUUUGGUAGAUAGAGCUGAGGGGAUUGGAGUUUCCCGGAAAUCUAAGAUGUUCCUCAGGAUCCUUGAUGUGCUGCACGGGGUCAGCAAGGAGAAAUUUGAGGCCCAAGUAAAGCUCAUGCACAGCUUUGGUUGGUCGAACUCGGAUUUCAUUGCUGCAUUCAUGAAACGCCCAACCUUUUUAUGGCAUUCCACAGAGCUAUUGCAGAGGAAGAUGGAAUUUUUUAUCAAGGAUGUUGAAAUUAAACCUUCUGAGAUUGCUAACCACCCAAUCGUUUUAGCAUUUAGUUUGGAAAAGAGGUCAAUUCCUCGGUUUCAAUUGAUGAAGAUAUUGAAAUCUGAAGGGUUAUGGACUUCGAAAAUCAAGAUACAAAACUUUUUCUCAUUGCCGAGUUCAAAAUUCUUGCAGAGCUUUGUCUUCCCUUACAAAGAUAAACUCCCCAAACUUCUUGAAGUCGUGUGAGCUGUAGCUGAGGUAGAGGUGAAUGAUCCAAACUGCAAAUGAAUAAGUAUGUGUUCCCUUGCAAAGAUAAAUUACCCAAAGGACAUGAAAUCUUGUGAGUUGUAGCUGAGUUUGAGAGGAAUAUCCAACAGUUGAAGGGUUUAUUUGGUUGCUUACACUUGGCGGCCAACACCUCACUUGUACACUGUCCUGAUACGAUAACAGAGAACUAACAAACCUUUCAACUUCGUGGUCAGGAGAGAGACGUGUGGUCAAGAGC
RNA transcript from Zingiber officinale, 1432 nucleotides. RefSeq lists it as uncharacterized. The record is from RefSeq and is a predicted model, not a curated record. Lineage: Eukaryota; Viridiplantae; Streptophyta; Magnoliopsida; Zingiberales; Zingiberaceae. The transcript has 3 exons.